Long non-coding RNA from Biomphalaria glabrata, 510 nucleotides. RefSeq lists it as uncharacterized. The record is from RefSeq and is a predicted model, not a curated record. The transcript has 4 exons. Lineage: Eukaryota; Metazoa; Mollusca; Gastropoda; Planorbidae.
ACCAUUGAAUAAAAGGUAUUUGGAGAAAGAGAAAAGCGGAAAAAUAAAACUACAGAAAUGUAUUAAAAACCUGAGUUUGAUACCUAUUGCUAAUUAUCUGAACGGUUUAAAUAUACAUUUUACAGUAUGCCUAAAAUGUAUAAUAUAUGAACAAUAACAAGUUAAUAACAACACAUUUUCCCUAUUAUUUCUUUUUUAGUAGGCUACCAAGACAAUUCGCCACAGCUUUUCAUUGCAGCACAUUUACAUGUUUAGGAUGUUCCCAAGACUUCAAAAAUAUUAUAUCCUAGUUCAAACCUCCCGCAGUUUGUACAAGCCUAAAUCAGCCUCCUGCUCAGUUAACAAACAAACAAGAUGUCAAUAUUUUUAGAAAGUUAGUUCCAUCAUCACGCACCAUGAAUAUGUAAGCCCAAAACAAAAAAAUAGUAAUAAAACAACAUUAAAUUCAAUGAGCAAAUGCUGCAGACUGGACAUCAUGACAUCAUUCAGGGAUAGAAGGCAAGGCAGUGG